ACCCGCUGAACUUAAGCAUAUCAAUAAGCGGAGGAAAAGAAACCAACAGGGAUUACCUCAGUAACGGCGAGUGAAGCGGUAACAGCUCAAAUUUGAAAUCUGGCCUCACGGUCCGAGUUGUAAUUUGUAGAGGAUGCUUCGAGCAUGGUCUGGCCUAAGUUCCUUGGAACAGGACGUCAUAGAGGGUGAGAAUCCCGUAUGCGGCCAGGUGCCUACGCUCAUGUGAAGCUCCUUCGACGAGUCGAGUUGUUUGGGAAUGCAGCUCAAAAUGGGUGGUAAAUUUCAUCUAAAGCUAAAUAUUGGCCAGAGACCGAUAGCGCACAAGUAGAGUGAUCGAAAGAUGAAAAGCACUUUGGAAAGAGAGUUAAACAGUACAUGAAAUUGUUGAAAGGGAAGCGCUUGCAACCAGACUUGCGCGCGGCCGAUCAUCCGGUGUUCUCACCGGUGCACUCGGCCGUGCUCAGGCCAGCAUCGGUUUUGGCGGCUGGAUAAAGGCCCUAGGAAUGUAGCUCCUCUCGGGGAGUGUUAUAGCCUAGGGUGCAAUGCAGCCUGCUGGGACCGAGGACCGCGCUUCGGCUAGGAUGCUGGCGUAAUGGUUGUAAGCGGCCCGUCUUGAAACACGG
Molecule: ribosomal RNA, 623 nt
Filed under: uncultured fungus
Lineage: Eukaryota; Fungi
Description: LSU rRNA
Rfam family: Eukaryotic large subunit ribosomal RNA
Source: RNAcentral